GUCUGGGAUGAAAAGCCCUUAGGGUUGUUAAAGCGCUUUCAGUCGAGGAGGAAAGGCUAGGUGGGUUAUAGCCACAUUGCAUGACCGUUACCGCAAGAAGUAAGCCACCGGCUACCUCCGUGCCAGCAGCCGCGGUAAUACGUAGGGUGCAAGCGUUAUCGGAUUUACUGGGCGUAAAGCGCACGCAGGCGGUUUGGUAAGUCAGAUGUGAAAUCCCCGCGCUUAACGUGGGAACUGCAUUUGAAACUGGCAAGCUAGAGUCUUGUAGAGGGGGAUAGAAUUCCAGGUGUAGCGGUGAAAUGCGUAGAGAUGUGGAGGAAUACCGGUGGCGAAGGCGGCCCCCUGGACAAACACUGACGCUCAGGUGCGAAAGCGUGGGGGAGCAAACAGGAUUAGAUACCCUGGUAGUCCACGCUGUAAACGAUGUCGAUUUGGAGGUUUGUGCCCUUGAGGCGUGACUUCCGGAGCUAACGCGUUAAAUCGACCGCCUGGGGAGUACGGCCGCAAGGUUAAAACUCAAAUGAAUUGACGGGGGCCCGCACAAGCGGUGGAGCAUGUGGUUUAAUUCGAUGCAACGCGAAGAACCUUACCUACUCUUGACAUCCAGAGAACUUUCCAGAGAUGGAUUGGUGCCUUCGGGAACUCUGACACACGUGCUGCAUGGCUGUCGUCAGAUCGUGUUGUGAAAUGUUGGGUUAAGUCCCGCAACGAGCGCAACCCUUAUCCUUUGUUGCCAGCGAUUCGGUCGGGAACUCAAAGGAGACUGCCGGUGAUAAACCGGAGGAAGGUGGGGAUGACGUCAAGUCAUCAUGGCCCUUACGAGUAGGGCUACACACGUGCUACAAUGGCGUAUACAAAGAGAAGCGAACUCGCGAGAGCAAGCGGCCCUCAUAAAGUACGUCGUAGUCCGGAUUGGAGUCUGCAACUCGACUCCAUGAAGUCGGAAUCGCUAGUAAUCGUAGAUCAGAAUGCUACGGUGAAUACGUUCCCGGUCCUUUUACACCCCCCCCGUCCCCCCAUGGGAGUGGUUUGCAAAAUUUUGUUUUAGCUUAACCUUCGGGAGGGCGCUUUACCACCUUUGUGAUUCAUGACUUGGGGGAAAGUGAAACCCAGGGCCCCCCCCCC
RNAcentral lists this ribosomal RNA (1125 nucleotides) under Rahnella sp. SS37. Its description in RNAcentral is "bacterial SSU rRNA". It matches the Rfam family "Bacterial small subunit ribosomal RNA", at positions 401 to 1506 of the family's 1533-position model. The record is from RNAcentral. Lineage: Bacteria; Pseudomonadati; Pseudomonadota; Gammaproteobacteria; Enterobacterales; Yersiniaceae.